This 590-nucleotide ribosomal RNA is filed under the name Ariosoma meeki. Its description in RNAcentral is "partial 12S ribosomal RNA". It matches the Rfam family "Bacterial small subunit ribosomal RNA", at positions 444 to 1280 of the family's 1533-position model. The record is from RNAcentral. Lineage: Eukaryota; Metazoa; Chordata; Actinopteri; Anguilliformes; Congridae.
GAGGUAUUAAUAUAUAAGCGAAAGCUUGACUUAGUUAGGGUAAUAGUAGAGCCGGUAAAACUCGUGCCAGCCACCGCGGUUAUACGAGGGGCUCAAAUUGAUGAAUAGCGGCGUAAAGAGUGAUUAGAGAACGCCAGACUAAAGCUGAAAGCACGCCCAGUUGUCAUACGCUAUGAUGAAUGGAAAACCAAAAACGAAAGUAGCUUUAAGAAUCUUGAAUUCACGACCAUUGAGGAACAAACCGGGAUUAGAUACCCCGCUAUGCUCAAUAGUAAACAAUGGUGGCAGAAUACACAAGCCAUCCGCCAGGGGAUUACGAGCACCUAGCUUAAAACCCAAAGGACUUGACGGUGCCUUAGGUCCACUUAGAGGAGCCUGUCCUAUAACCGAUAUACCUCGUUGAACCUCACUACUCCUUGCCAAAUCAGCCUAUAUACCACCGUCGGCAGCUUACCUUGUGAGAGCCAUUGUAGUGAGCUAAAUGGAAUAAAGAUCCAGAACGUCAGGUCGAGGUGUAGCAAACGGGGUAGGAAGAGAUGGGCUACACUUUCUGGAUCAGAAAAGACGAAAGGUGGAAUGAAAAUAACACA